This 76-nucleotide transfer RNA is filed under the name Kiritimatiellota bacterium B12222. Its description in RNAcentral is "tRNA-Thr". It matches the Rfam family "tRNA". From Rfam's summary of the family: Transfer RNA (tRNA) molecules are approximately 80 nucleotides in length. Their secondary structure includes four short double-helical elements and three loops (D, anti-codon, and T loops). Further hydrogen bonds mediate the characteristic L-shaped molecular structure. tRNAs have two regions of fundamental functional importance: the anti-codon, which is responsible for specific mRNA codon recognition, and the 3' end, to which the tRNAs corresponding amino acid is attached (by aminoacyl-tRNA synthetases). tRNAs cope with the degeneracy of the genetic code in two manners: having more than one tRNA (with a specific anti-codon) for a particular amino acid; and 'wobble' base-pairing, i.e. permitting non-standard base-pairing at the 3rd anti-codon position. The record is from RNAcentral. Lineage: Bacteria; Pseudomonadati; Kiritimatiellota.
GCCAAAGUAGCUCAGUUGGUAGAGCAAUUCACUCGUAAUGAAUAGGUCACCGGUUCGAUUCCGGUCUUUGGCUCCA